This 497-nucleotide ribosomal RNA is filed under the name uncultured bacterium. Its description in RNAcentral is "partial 16S ribosomal RNA". It matches the Rfam family "Bacterial small subunit ribosomal RNA", at positions 28 to 507 of the family's 1533-position model. The record is from RNAcentral.
GAUGAACGCUGGCGGCGUGCCUAAUACAUGCAAGUCGAGCGAACAGACGAGGAGCUUGCUCCUCUGGCAUUAGCUGCGGACGGGUGAGUAACACGUGGAUAACCUGCCUCUAAGACUGGGAUAACUUCGGGAAACCGGAGCUAAUACCGCAUAAUAGAUUGAAUCGCAUGGUUCAAUAGUGAAAGACGGUUUUGCUUUCACUUAUAAAUGGAUUCGCGCCUCUUUACAUAGUUGGUAAGGUACGGGCCUACCAAGGCGACGAAGAGUACCCGACCUGAGAGGGUGUUCGGCCACACUGGAACUGGACAACGCUCAAGACUCCGACGGGAGGAGGCAGUGGGGAAUCUUCGGCAAUGGGGGAAAGCCGACCGGAGAACCGCGGGGUGAGUGAUGAAGGUCUUCGGACGGUAAAAUCCUGUUAUUAGGGAAGAACAAAUGUGUAAGUAAAUAUGCACGUUUUGACGGUAACUAACCAGAAAGCCACGGCUAACUACGUG